This 2612-nucleotide ribosomal RNA is filed under the name marine metagenome. RNAcentral's name for it is "bacterial LSU rRNA". It matches the Rfam family "Bacterial large subunit ribosomal RNA". The record is from RNAcentral.
GAUCUAAGCUUUUAAGGAAUACCUAGACUAAAUUUUAAAGGGCGUUAAACUAACGAUAUGCUUUUGUGAAAUAUUUUGUGAACAAAAGUUACCCUUUGGUAAAAGCCAAUAUUUUAUAACGUAGCGAAUUGAAACAUCUUAGUAGCUAUAGAUAAUAUUAAUUAAAAAAGAUUUCUUUAGUAGUGGUGAGCGAACCAGAAAAAAAUUAAUAUUUUGUAAAUUCAAAAAUUUAGAAUAUGUUUGAAUACAUAACCUAAGAAAGUGUUAGUCUUGUAUAAAUUUUAUUUGCAAAAUUUUUUAAAGUAGACUAAUUCAAGAUAUUUUAGUUGAAAUUAGGAGUACCGCCUUCUAAUCAAAAAUAAAGAUUUAGAUCGAUAGUGAACAAGUACUGUAAAGGAAAGGUGAAAAGACUCUAUGAGAGGUGAAAUAGAUUUUGAAUUUGAAAGCUUUAAAGCAGAUACAAAUAUUUAUAUUAUUUGUAUCGUACCUUUUGUAUAAUGGGUCAGCAAGUUUAUUAAAAUAGUAAGCUUAAACCGUUAGGUGUAGGCAUAGUUAAUGCAAAUUUUACAAUUUAAAAUUAUUUUAAUAAGACCCGAAACUGAGUGAUCUACUUAUGAGCAGGUUGAAUAACAUUUAAAACAUGUUAGGAGGACCGAACCCGUAUCUGUUGCAAAAGAUUGGGAUGACUUGUGAGUAGGGGUGAAAGGCCAAUCAAACUCAGAGAUAGCUGGUUCUCUGCGAAAUUUAUUUAAGUAAAAAUGUAAAUAAAAAAAUACUAGUAAAGGUAGAGCACUUAUUGGCUGAUGGGAACUUGACGGUUUUACUGAUGUCAGUUAAACUCCGAAUUAAACUAAGUUUUAAUUUACACGGCAAACUAUAGGUGAUAAGAUCUAUUAGUUUAAAGGGAAACAGCCCAGACUACUAGCUAAGGUCUUAAAAUUACAAUUAAGUGGGAAAGAUUUUUAUUUAUUAUGUCAGCUAGGAAGUGGGCCUAGAGGCAGCCAUCUUUUAAAGAAAGCGUAACAGCUCACUGGCUAAACUUAAUAUAUAAAUAAAAAUCUAAAAUUCAAUUAGACUAAAAUUGUUAAUACCGAAGCUGUAGAGUAAAUAAUUAAUUACUGGUAGCAGAGCAUUUUGUUUAUAAUGUAUAACUUUGUAAAAAGUUUUUUAAAUCAAAUUUGAAAAUGCUGACAUGAGUAACCUAAUAUAAUUAAAAAAUUAUAACUGAAAAUUUAAAGUUUCCUACGAACGAAUAAUUCACGUAGGGUUAAUCGGCUUCUAAAGUAAUAUAUGAAAAUAUAUGCUGAUGAAAAGAAUAUUAAUAUUUAUUCAUCUAUCUUAUAAAAAGCGACAAAGUUUCUACAUUAUUAUACUUUAAUCAUAAAGUUAAUUUAAUUUACUAGUAUAAUUAAGAAAUUUUCUAGAAAAAGCUAAGAUAGUAAAGACCGUACUUUAAACCGACACUGGUAAAUUAGUAGAAUAUAUAAAAGUUUUGGGGUAAUAGUAUUGAAGGAACUCGGCAAAAUAACUUCGUAACUUCGGGAGAAGAAGGGCUUAUUUUUUUAAUAAGUAUAAAAAAAGAGGGGAUAGCGACUGUUUAUUAAAAACACAGGACUCUGCUAAAUUGUAAAAUGAUGUAUAGGGUCUGACACCUGCCCGGUGCUGACAAGCGAAAUUUAAAAGUUUAAACGCUUUUAAUAUAAGUUCCAGCAAACGGCGGCUGUAACCAUAACGGUCCUAAGGUAGCGAAAUUCCUUGUCAGGUAAGUUCUGACCUGCAUGAAUGGUGUAACGACUUUCCCACUGUCUCCAAUACUAACCUAGUGAAAGUGAAAUCUCUGUUAAGAUGCAGCGUUGCAUCGGCUAGACGGAAAGACCCCGUGCACCUUUACUAUAUUUUUAUAUUGCUCUUGUAAACUUUUUGUAUAGGAUAAUUGUUAGUCGCUAUAAGCCCUCAGCGCCAGCUGAUUGGUAAGACAUCCUUGGAAUAACAAUCUUUAAUUUUACAUUAGCUAAGUUCGAAAAAAACAACAAUAUAUGAAGGGUAGUUUAACUGGGGCGGUUACCUCCUAAAAAGUAACGGAGGUGUGCGAUGGUAAGUAAAAUAUAAUUUGAUUAUAUUUUUAGCUCAAUGGCUUAAACUUGCCUGAUUGUAAGACCUACAGGUCAAACAAAGACGAAAGUCUGUCAUAGUGAUCCAAUAAUUUAUUGUGGAAUAGUUAUUGCUCAACGGAUAAAAGGUACGCCGGGGAUAACAGGCUUAUGACUCUUUAGAGUUCCUAUCGAUAGAGUUGUUUGGCACCUCGAUGUCGACUUAUCGCAUCCUGGAGCUGUAGUAGGUUCCAAGGGUUCGGCUGUUCGCCGAUUAAAGCGGUACAUGAGUUGGGUUUAGAACGUCGUGAGACAGUUUGGUCCCUAUCUACCGAUGCAUUUAGAAAUAAAAAAGAACUCAAUCCUAUUACGAGAGGACCGGAAAGUGUACACCUAUUGUGGUUCGAUUGCUUUAUUAUAGGCACAGUCGAGUAGCUACGUGUAUUUUUAUAACUGCUGAAAGCAUAUAAGCAGGAAAAUAAUCUUUUGAAUUUCUUUAAAAUAACGAUAGACUAUCGUUUU